AGAGCAUGACACGUCAGCGUGCUGAUCAUUUGGGCUUUGCCUCUCGCGUUCGUAUUCAAGGCCCAUAUGUAUUUGUCGUCUUCGCUCCCUUCGAACGGCGAUGAGGCGAUACAGUUCCCGUAACGGUGAGCUUGAGCUUUAAUCGUCUUUAAUUGUCUUCAAUUUCAGAUCUGUUCGUCGGCGUAAUCUGUUAUAAAUAUCCAAAGAUCUCACCUCUGCGAAUUGCACUCUACACAUCUGACUCGGAGGAGGAGCUGAAAUAAGCAUUCAGGGUUUUCGACAAAGACUAGAACGGUUUCAUCUCCACUGCUGAGCUGUGCCAUGUGAUGACUAAUCUUGGUGAGAAGCUAUCUGAUGAGGAAGUGGAAGAGAUGAUCCGUGAAGCUGAUGUUGAUGGAGAUGGUCGACUUAGCGGUUUCGAUGUAAAUCAGCAUGUCGUCCCUCUCGCAGAUGUUAGUAGAUAAGCAAGAAAGACAAUUCUUCUAGAAAUUCAUUCCCUUGCCAGAUAGACUUUAAGUGCUGACAGCUAUUCGGAAUUUGUGAGCGUGAAAUAAGCAUAGCUAAAGCACUUCUUAAGAUUCAGCGGUAGACACUUAUCGUGCACUGUUUCGAGAAAGAACUCCCAUGGAGUUUCAACUCAUCUUGGAACUCAAGGUGAUUUUAAUUCUCAGAUUCUCUAAAAACCAAUUAGCUUUAAGGCAGAGUCAUGUCAACUAUAUCAUUUAUUUGAAAGUCAUUUUACAUGACCACGUUUCUGAGUCUAGAUAAAAAGGACCAUAGCACCAUCUUUAACACAUAGAUAUGUGAAGAGAUUUGGAUUGCCGGACACUAACUCUGAAACAUUUUGUGUCGAUGCAUUGUCUUGAGAAAGCUGAUCAGCAGACCAUACUUAUCGAGGGAGCAGCUCUUGGCAGAUGAGCUGCAACCUCUUACUUUAAUAACUUCACUGCACUUUCUGAAGCAGCCAAAGACCUCAAAGAUGGAAGUUUAUCACAGUGAAUGCACUCAUUCUCUCUCUCUGUCUCUUUUAAUAGGACAAACAAGCUUUCUUCACCUGGCUUAGACCAGGUUUAUCAGCGACUGCUGUAGCCUGUAGGAGCUUGAAAGCUCCAUCUCUUGAGUUUCCAGAAUACAUCAAACAGAGAGGAUAUGAUUUCCAUGAACUUCAAGCAUAUUUGAAGUUUAUGGAGUCCUGAAACGUGAACCGGACAUGGUGGAGAAAGAAAAGGAUGAAUUCAUAUCUGACUUAUCCAAAAUGAGUAUCUUCAUUUUUUUUUUUUAUCACGAACUUUCACUCUCUUUUUAUAAACAUAAAUGUUUGACAACGUUCGAAGCUGUAUCAAACAUUAAAAAUUUGGUCAAAGCAGUACAGUCUCCCAUAAAAGACUAUCAGGUUGAUGAGCGCAAGAACGAGACGCCUAAGAAACUAGCUAUAAUCGUGCCGAGCUUGGCAUCGAUUUAGGAGAUGAGGACUUUGUUUCCGAAGAAUAUUCUCAGUGAAGAUGCCUCAAGCAUGGAGAAAAGAUCAACUAAUUAAACAGGGAUAAGAGGAAGCUAACAACAAAACUCCAUUCUUGGAAGUAAACAUAUGAUUGAUUAGAUAAAAGAGGUGUCCGCUCUGGCAGUUGAGUUCAUCAACUGGAUGAGUUUAGCAAAGUAUGAGUGUGUAAAGGUGACAUAUGACUGUUGUACGCAAUCUUAUUUUGUUCUGGUUUAGUUCGUUGACUAUGGACCGGUUCAAUUUGGUUAACCUUCUCAUCUGAGGAAACCAAAUAUGAAAAAGAAAAGUAAACAGAGAGACCAACAAAAACAGACUAGACUUUGUUUGCUUUUCAGGAAAACAUAAUAAAGUCAAAAGUAAGCACUA
Raphanus sativus (radish) is the source of this 1867-nucleotide long non-coding RNA. RefSeq lists it as uncharacterized. NCBI's taxonomy places the organism in Eukaryota, Viridiplantae, Streptophyta, Magnoliopsida, Brassicales, Brassicaceae. The record is from RefSeq and is a predicted model, not a curated record. The transcript has 5 exons.